Molecule: ribosomal RNA, 448 nt
Filed under: uncultured bacterium
Lineage: Bacteria
Description: bacterial SSU rRNA
Rfam family: Bacterial small subunit ribosomal RNA
Source: RNAcentral
UUCCAGACUCCUACGGGAGGCAGCAGUGGGGAAUAUUGCACAAUGGGGGAAACCCUGAUGCAGCGACGCCGCGUGAGUGAAGAAGUAUUUCGGUAUGUAAAGCUCUAUCAGCAGGGAAGAAAAUGACGGUACCUGACUAAGAAGCCCCGGCUAACUACGUGCCAGCAGCCGCGGUAAUACGUAGGGGGCAAGCGUUGUCCGGAAUUACUGGGUGUAAAGGGAGUGUAGGCGGGAAGGCAAGUCAGAAGUGAAAAUUAUGGGCUCAACCCAUAACCUGCUUUUGAAACUGUUUUUCUUGAGUGAAGCAGAGGCAAGCGGAAUUCCUAGUGUAGCGGUGAAAUGCGUAGAUAUUAGGAGGAACACCAGUGGCGAAGGCGGCUUGCUGGGCUUUUACUGACGCUGAGGCUCGAAAGCGUGGGGAGCAAACAGGAUUAGAUACCCCGGUAGA